UAGUCCCCACCCCCACCACCAGAAGUCAUCGACUGUGAAGAGCUACACUUUAGCAUCUUUGCCACAUAUUUUUAAAGACUCUCUUCAAUAGCUUCUUGUCUGGAUUGUUUCUUUUGAGGAGGAAGGGAUUGUCACAGAAGCCCUUAAUGUCUGAUUCUCAGUUAUGAGUCUGCAGUCAUCCAUACCACUGCAAAAGAAGUUUCCUUUCCCACAGCACCCGGUGACAGCACAGAGCACAGACAUCAACAUAGCUUCUGGCAGCAACAUGGAUCACAGACAUCAGCAUGGCCUGCCCUAGCAGCACAGACUAAGGACAUCAGCAUGGACCAUGGUCAUCAGCAUGGUCUCCCACGGCAGCACGUACCACCGACACACUGACCACAGAAGUCUUUUGAGGAGACUUAGCCAGAAAAUGAAUCAUUCUUCCUCUUGUAUAUCUUGCUGCUGGGUCUGGGUGAUCAUGGAGUUGGGCAGUUUGUCAGGGGGCAGGACCUGCGUGAGCUCCAGGCUGCUGUGUACCACCUUGCCUCGGUGCCACCCUGCACCUUGGGCAAGACCGGCAUGCUUGCAGCCUGUAGGCCACACUGCUGCAGCCCCACGCUCUUCUCUUUCCACGCAGGGCGAGCAGCACAAGCGGCGGAGGCGGCAGCAGCAAUGAUCCCCCAUGGCUCCUGAUGCACCAUUUCUUUAAGGGAAAAUGCAACAUGCAUAUGGCCCAGUGCGUGGGAACCUUCAGUCAUCCCUCACACCACUUCUGCCUCUGCAUUCUUGACAGUCCUGGUACGUUCAGAGGAGACCUGUCUUCUGUGUGAAGAUUGUUUAGAGAAGGCAAAGGCAAAGCCAUCAUCAGAGAAGGCUGGGAAGAGGCCCAGUCAUGGCAGCCUUCAGCUGGGUCUAGUCCAUGGCUAUCCAGUGAACUGAAUGUACUCUUCUGGGAGACCUUGGCAAGGUCAGCAGAAGAGUCACCCAGUUGAGCUCAGCUCUAAUUGCAGAAUCAUGAGCAGAAUGAAACAGCUUUCGUCUUAUGCCACUUAGUUCCCAGACAGCUUUCACACUGGACUAGAAAGACAAAAAACAACUACAAUCAUAAUUCUUGAAAACAGAGGUUGGCAAAGGUUUCAGACUAAGUCAAGAUCCUGGCCCUUUUCCAUAGGGAUGUGAGGAAACAUGGUGGUGCUAAUUUGGCUCAACCUAUAUCUGUAUGAACCUUGUUUUGUAGCUUUGAUGAGCAGGCCCUGCAGGCUGUGCUGUGUCUCUCAUUUGUAAAUCUCCCAAUCUAUAACCACCAUCCCCAACCACCUUCUUUGAUGGUCCCCCACACUCUGGGUCCCCAUCUGUCUGCUCUAAGUUACUUGCUCUAGGGUCAAACACCAGGCACCUGAGAGCAGCCCUGUGUCUUGGAGACUGCUGCAGCCAUUGAAACCAGCAGGGCAAUAGAAACUUGCACUCACGUUCUUACCUGCUCCCCCUGUGCCAUGAUCAACUUGUCCUUCCCUUUGUGGCCCUUGCCCCCACUAGCCUGGUUUUCUCCCUUCUUUUAGGAUCUGAGAGUGUAACAAACCUUUUCCAGUGGUGUGCCAUUACUAUUUAAAAUAAUAAUGACACGUAUUUUAAAACAGUGAUCUGUGAGUAUAAAUGAGGGGACAAAUCCCACAGCCAGUGCCACUCUGGUAAGUGACUAAGAUGGACAAGGCAGAAGAGGCCGACAAGGACAGGAUGUCCCCUGUGUCACCCAGAGGGACCCACCUCCCCAACACCAGCCUUUCAUCGUGUGCCCUAAUUUCUAAGGAGUUACAUAUUGUUCCAUUGAAAAUAAGUCCUGUGUCUGAAUGUUUCCCCAUAAUUUGCAUGAUGGCUCUAGGAAAUGAUUUGUUGUCUUCUUUAUACAGAAGUGGAAAUCAAGGGUUAGAAUAAAUAAAAUGCUGCAAGCAGAAGGAGA
Peromyscus eremicus (cactus mouse) is the source of this 1939-nucleotide long non-coding RNA. RefSeq lists it as uncharacterized. The transcript is spliced from 2 exons. The record is from RefSeq and is a predicted model, not a curated record. NCBI's taxonomy places the organism in Eukaryota, Metazoa, Chordata, Mammalia, Rodentia, Cricetidae.